This 253-nucleotide ribosomal RNA is filed under the name uncultured bacterium. RNAcentral describes it as "partial 16S ribosomal RNA". It matches the Rfam family "Bacterial small subunit ribosomal RNA", at positions 524 to 776 of the family's 1533-position model. The record is from RNAcentral.
UACGUAGGGAGCAAGCGUUGUCCGGAAUCAUUGGGCGUAAAGCGCGCGUAGGCGGCCCCGUAAGUCCGCUGUGAAAGUCGAAGGCUCAACCUUUGAAAGCCGGUGGAUACUGUGGGGCUAGAGUCCGGAAGAGGCGAGUGGAAUUCCUGGUGUAGCGGUGGAAUGCGCAGAUAUCAGGAGGAACACCAAUAGCGAAGGCAGCUCGCUGGGACGGUACUGACGCUGAGACGCGAAAGCGUGGGGAGCGAACAGG